CCACUCUUUUCUGAUCAAUAAAAACACAUUCAAAAUUGAAUUUUGAUCUUCUUAAACCAAAUUCAGAUUCAACAGCUCGUGUCCACUGUGGGACAUUACGAAGUAGUUAACAAUGAUUCAACCACCAUACACCAACCUGCGCCAGCAACAUAGACACCGACCAUGACAGAAAUGAUGCAAAUGAUCAUGGAGCGUCUCGCAGCAGGAAGAAGCGUAAAAGGCGAAGAAUGAGUGUCUCGCCGCAACGCCCCCAGUCGUCGAUGUCAUCGCACCAACAAUUCGAAGACAACUUUUCACCACCAAAAACCCUUUGGCCAGCAGAGGAGAGCAGGCGACUGGCGAAGUAAACCCGUCAAAUAACGAUACUGAAACAACCACAAAACGUCAAAUCGCCGACUUUCAACUUUCGAUACAAGAUAUCAACUCCAAAAUCCACUACGUCACCAGCUUGGCCCCACAGAUCGAACACGUUCUCACCGUGAUGCUAAAGACUCCUUUUUCAAAGCAAAUUACUGAUGUUUAAAGUCCAACCAACGGAUAAGAUCCGUAUUCUUUUUACUCCGGCGACAUAGAUCCCACUGGCCAUGUGACAAUUCGUUCAACAUAGCCAUGAGACGAGC
Molecule: long non-coding RNA, 620 nt
Filed under: Brassica napus (rape)
Lineage: Eukaryota; Viridiplantae; Streptophyta; Magnoliopsida; Brassicales; Brassicaceae
Description: long non-coding RNA (BNAP_LNC016125)
Source: RNAcentral